GCCCCAUAGUCUGGGAUACCACUUGGAAACAGGUGCUAAUACCGGAUAAGAAAGCGGAUCGCAUGAUCAGCUUUUAAAAGGCGGCGUAAGCUGUCGCUAUGGGAUGGCCCCGCGGUGCAUUAGCUAGUUGGUAAGGUAAAGGCUUACCAAGGCUAUGAUGCAUAGCCGAGUUGAGAGACUGAUCGGCCACAUUGGGACUGAGACACGGCCCAAACUCCUACGGGAGGCAGCAGCA
This 235-nucleotide ribosomal RNA is filed under the name uncultured Lactobacillus sp. RNAcentral describes it as "partial 16S ribosomal RNA". It matches the Rfam family "Bacterial small subunit ribosomal RNA", at positions 128 to 355 of the family's 1533-position model. The record is from RNAcentral. Lineage: Bacteria; Bacillati; Bacillota; Bacilli; Lactobacillales; Lactobacillaceae.